UCUACAAAUGAGAAGGGAGAAGUCAAGAUAAGCACUAAAUAGAGGAUAUAUUAUUUACUAGCCUCAUAUGCAGUAAGCCACAAAUUGCUGAGUUGUACAUCUGGCAAUCUGAAUUCCCUGAUUUCAUACUGAAAUGCUAUUAAGAAACAAAGGAAGUAUUCUCUUAACGUGUUUUUUCUUUUAAAGGUGACAUAUAGAAUAUAGCUACCCCCACAAUAUGUGUGUGUAUACAUAUUUAUAUGUAUUUUAAUGGGUAACCUAGAGUUAGGCCAUUUCAGAAUGUCUAUUUAUAAUUUUUUCAAUUCAUCAUUCAUUCAUCCAUUCAGUCAGUCAGUCAGGCAGUCAAUCAGUCACUCAACUGACAUAGAUCAUACAUGUUAAGACUACCGUGUUCACAUUUCUUUUUUAAAUGUGUAGGAUGUUAUGGAAAGAAAGCUGAGCCAAAACCGCAGCCAACAUUUGACAAAAUGAAUAUGUCCAUUUUUAGCACAAAAAUAAAACCUGUGAGAGCUCUUUAUUGCAUGGAACCUGUAAGACAACUGUCACUAAAAAGGAAGCUCUUGAAAUCUUUUUUGUUUUGCAAGUACAGGAAUCCACAUUCAAUGGUAAUCAAAAGCCAGUGAAAGAGGAAAAACAAUAACCUACAGGUUUCAGUCUGGAUCUUCUGAUGUAAUAAAUUAUCUGAAAACCAAUAAAUUAAAUUCUACUAUCAGAAAGGUCUUAGUAUGUUAGCUCUUAAAACAACAAGUAACAAGUGAAUAUUAGAAAGGACAAAAGCAGAUGAAAUUACUUUUCCUCAUAGAAAAUUAUGCAAAGAGAACCUAAAGUUUUGGUUUUCUUUUUUACAUGCAGUGAAACUGAGUUGUGGAACAGUCUGUCCUGAACACAUUCUCAUAGAAAUGGCAAUAUCAAAGUUAUGUGCUAAUGACAUUAUAGUGCCACCAGUUAACUUACUGCUUUUCUCCCUUCCACAAGCAGGUUCGCCUCUCCUUCCUAACCCAAACAGUCACAUUCGCCAGCUGCCAAGCAACUACUGAAAAUCUAAGAAUGCUCAGAUGAUAAUUACUGAAGCAUCAUGAUACGUAUCAUUCACAAUAUAAACAUUUUGGCCUCCUUGACCUUAAAAUAAAGCUACAUCAUGCACUGCAGGGAAUCACAUCAAGGUUUUGAAUUCAAGGUUUUAAUAGAUCCCAUCUAUCAGUAAAAAUACAUGCAUAAAUACUUUUACAUGGAAAAUACUGUGAUCUGUCUGAAAAUUCUAAACAGAUGAAGCACUUCUCAAAGAGCACAAAAUAUUUAUCUUCUUCAUAAUCUCACAGAGAAUUUAAUUAAAAAUGGUUGCUAAUUCACAGCAACUGACUGCAGAAAAUUAAUUCUUUAAUCUCAGUAUUUCUUCUGUUCACAAAAGGUUUCCUCAUAGAUGUAUAAGAAUCUGACUUCUGAUACCAAAGCAUAAGGACACAUGAAAAGUAAAAUUGUUUCAUCACAUGAUUAGACAGUUUGGUUCAUUGUUCCGAGGGACAGACCAAAGAAAAUAUCAUCAUGCAAAUGUGUUUUAAUGGUGUUUGCUCAACUCACGGAAGAUUAAUCUUUAGAAAAAGGAGAGGGUGGGGAAUAAUGUAUCAGGAUUACUGGAAGCAAAAUACAUGAAUAAUACUAAAAUCCAGCAGAUUUGUAUGAAGCAGAGAAAGGAAACCUAUGUUCAAGGGACAUACUAUGCAACACUCUAAUUAACAGGCAUUUGUGAACAGUUUCAUGAAACAUGCAAUAAAGCAGAUGAUGCUUUCUCCAAUAAAAGUUUGGUGUAGGAUAUACUAGUCUGAAACAUAUUAAUUCCAUGAAAGCUGCAGCUCCCUGUUAAUAUACAGUUUUGCCCUAAUGUAACUCAAUUUCCAUAUGCAGUGUCUAAAAUUUUUUUGCUAUCUUAUAAAACUGCACUUGCAGUUCAAAUGAAAAUACAAUUUUAUCUGUAAAUUCUUACAGCUACAGCCUGUACAAGGAAUAGUAAUCUCUAUCAAAGUGUGUUCUCAUAAUUGUUUUCAUAAUUAAUUACAUAGCAAGCUACAGCAAAGCCAGUAAUUUUCUUGCACAUAUUAGUGGCACACAGUAAAAUAUCCCACAACAAACGUAUAAUACGUACACCACACUCAACAUUUAUUUGCAGUUAUCCAUCCCCAUUUAAAGGAACUAUUAAGAGAAUAAUAAAUAAAUAAAUAAAUAAAUAAAUAAAUAAAAGAAAGUUAAGUGUUUGGAUGCUUCCAAAAAUUCUCUUAGCAAUGAUGGAAGCAAACAUUUAAGUAUUGGAUGCUUCUCAGUUACAGGUAUUACACAUCCAUCAGUGCAGAGGAAGGAAGUCAGGGCAGGGGCAGGGGUAAGGAAAAUUUAUAUUUUUAUACUAUUCCAUGGUAUAUUUCACAACAAGUAGGUAUUUACUCCAAAACUACAUUUUCAAAAAGUAGUACCUAUAAUAUGCCAUACAACUAGGUAAUUUAUCCUUCAACUUCACCUUCCAUACUAAAUGGGGGUUAAGGAGCAGAGAAAGUGCAGCUUGUAAGUUUAGAGAAUACUGGAGGAAAAAUAUGCAAGGAAAAAUCUCUCUCCAAAUUAUCUCUUGCUUUGCUCAAAAAAUGUAACUGUGCCAUUGUAUUUGCAUCAUUUUCAAUCAUGUCGGAUAUAAUAACUAAACUAUUAUUUUCUUACAGUUUUCAAACUGUAAGAUGAAAAAAUAAAAUUCCUAAUUAGUAAAAUAGUAAAUCGUAAAACCAUCACAUUAUUAAUAAAUUUUUCCUAGAGUAUGGAAGGUGCUUGUUAUACCAGAACAUGCCCUCUAUAAAUGCAAAAGAAACAAGCCUCAGAGAUUUCAAUUCAGUAAGGUAUUUGGGGAUUGCUCCCAAUUUGGAAUUCAAAGCUGUGCACCAGAACAUAAAAUAUGCAUGCCAUUAUUCUUUUCAGAAAUUUGUUAUUAAGUGACCAGGUAAUAGAAAUUAAAUAUAAUAUAAUUUCAGUUACAUUGUGGUAAAACUGCCAUCAUAGAUCUAGAUUUUUGUGUAUGAUAUUACAAUUUUAUCUUAAAAUAAAAGACUGCAUUUUUUGUAAAUUCAAAGAGUUCAUUAUUUGUUUUAUAUAUGCCAAUGAAAUUUGUUUCCAACACUAGACAUAUAUAUACAGUACACAUGUAAGGACACGUGUAUAUCAAAAGCAGUGAGAAAUAAGUCUUUAGGGGUUACUGCAUACAUUUGUCAUACUUAAUAAGUAAAUAAAAGUGGACGAAUAAUUACACAGACUAUAAAUAGAUAUAAAAAAUGUUAUAAAAGGAAAAACCAAUGACUUUUAGAAUCUAGAUAUAUGAUAUGCUGCAAGACUGAGACUUGUAAGAGCUUCUGCAAAACAGAGUUGCUUUUGCUUAUAAAAGCCAAAUACAUAGCAAAAAAGUCAGUUCUGGUGUGGUUCCCCUAUGCAAUUUUAAAAACGAUUAUUAAAAAAAAUCUCUAAUUUCCUUCACCAUGUACAGUUAAUUUUUUGGGUACCUGU
This is a long non-coding RNA of Pseudopipra pipra, 3531 nucleotides long. RefSeq lists it as uncharacterized. NCBI's taxonomy places the organism in Eukaryota, Metazoa, Chordata, Aves, Passeriformes, Pipridae. The transcript is spliced from 3 exons. The record is from RefSeq and is a predicted model, not a curated record.